Molecule: long non-coding RNA, 728 nt
Filed under: Monodelphis domestica (gray short-tailed opossum)
Lineage: Eukaryota; Metazoa; Chordata; Mammalia; Didelphimorphia; Didelphidae
Description: lncRNA (ENSMODG00000031196.2)
Source: RNAcentral
GAAAUUUGCUUAAUGAUUUUGUCUGAUUCCAGGAGAAGGGAAUACAAAAAGAGCCAUUGCACAGUAUCAAAGAAGCAAAAAAGCUAAACUGCAUAGCGCCAAUAGAGCACAAGGUCAAAGAGACCAAACCAGUUCUAUGUGGAUUGAUGACAUUCUACACAAAGAGCUCAAGGACUUAAUCAUGUGUGAGACUCGAGGUUGCAGUUUUUUAACAUGUAUUAAAUGCAGGUCUUCCUUGCACCACACACUCUAUAUAAAAUACAUGACAUCAAUUAUUCUGGCUUCAUCAUGGCUCCCAUUUUCUCAUAUAAUCUAGUCCCUUUUCUCUCUCUUAUAGUAUGGCACCUUCCUGUGGUCUUGGCUGCAAACGGACUUCUCCGAACAGAAUGGGCAGAUGAGAAUAAAUUGUUCCAAUAACCAAAAAAGUGGCUGGAAAAGGAAUGAUGGAACACCUAGAGAUAGUCCAGACAUCAAAGUUGCCAAGGUCUUCCACUGUAUCUGAGCCAUGGUCAGUCAUUCUGAUUUUUGUCUUGCCAUUUGACUUAGACAAUCUAGAAGAGAAUGAGACUGUUAACUUUAUGCAACUCUGCAUCAGUUAAAUUCAAUUCAUUCUUAAGUCAGGCUCCCCAUGAUGCCAUUGAUCUUGUAAAACAGGCAAACAAUUACAACAAUACUUAUUUCCAUGCCUACUAUAUAUAAGGUACAGUAUUUGGUGUUUUGGAUUAUAC